RNAcentral lists this ribosomal RNA (253 nucleotides) under uncultured bacterium. RNAcentral describes it as "partial 16S ribosomal RNA". It matches the Rfam family "Bacterial small subunit ribosomal RNA", at positions 524 to 776 of the family's 1533-position model. The record is from RNAcentral.
UACGUAGGGGGCAAGCGUUGUCCGGAUUUAUUGCGCGUAAAGAGCGUGUAGGCGCCCAUACAGGUCAGCUGUGAAAACUCGAGGCUCAACCUCGAGACGUCGGUUGAAACCGUAUGGCUAGAGUCCGGAAGAGGAGAGUGGAAUUCCCGGUGUAGCGGUGAAAUGCGCAGAUAUCGGGAAGAACACCUAUGGCGAAGGCAGCUCUCUGGGACGGUACUGACGCUGAGACGCGAAAGCGUGGGGAGCAAACAGG